This 484-nucleotide ribosomal RNA is filed under the name uncultured bacterium. Its description in RNAcentral is "partial 16S ribosomal RNA". It matches the Rfam family "Bacterial small subunit ribosomal RNA", at positions 30 to 507 of the family's 1533-position model. The record is from RNAcentral.
AUUGAACGCUGGCGGCAGGCCUAACACAUGCAAGUCGAGCGGAUGAAGGGAGCUUGCUCCUGGAUUCAGCGGCGGACGGGUGAGUAAUUCCUAGGAAUCUGCCUUGUCGUUGGGGAUAACGUCCGGAAACGGGCGCUAAUACCGCAUACGUCCUGAUGGUGAAAGUGGUGGAUCUUCAGACCUCACGCUUUCAGCUGACCCUAGGUCGGAUUAGCUAGUUGGUGGGGUAAAGGCCUACCAAGGCGACGAUCCGUAACUGGUCUGAGAGGAUGAUCAGUCACACUGGAACUGAGACACGGUCCAGACUCCUACGGGAGGCAGCAGUGGGGAAUAUUGGACAAUGGGCGAAAGCCUGAUCCAGCCAUGCCGCGUGAGUGAAGAAGGUCUUCGGAUUGUAAAGCACUUUAAGUUGGGAGGAAGGGAAGUAAGUGAAUACCUGGCUGUUUUGACGUUACCAAAAGAAUAAGCACCGGCUAACUUCGUG